UUUUUAUAUUUGAUUUUUAUGGUUUAGAUCUGUGUUUGUGGAAAGUUGUUUUCGUUUGGAUCCUUUAUAUUCAUUAUUGAUUAUGUAUUUAGAUCUGUUGAGAACAUUCAUUUUUAUAUAUGUUUACGUACUGAUUUGCUGUUUUUGGAAUAUGGAGGAGUCAGUAGAUUUUGCAGAGGAGACAUAAGAUUUGGCGGAGAAGCCUGACGUCAGAGGAGGUGUGAUGGCUACGUCAGAGCGCUGUGGUGAAGGAGAUGGAGGCGACGACAGGAGGAAGACGACCAUGGAAGUCGGAAGGAGCGGCGUUGUGGUGAAGGAGAUGGAGACGACGACAGGAGGAAUACAUACGACCUUGAAAGGAGGAACGAGCGGUGGCUUAGGUUUAGGUUUCGGUUUAAUGUGUUUCAAUUAGUUUGUUGGUUUAAUUAAUUAUGGUUUAGUGUUGUAAAAAUAAAAUUUAAUUGUAAAGUGAAUUUAAUUAAUAAAUAAAAUUUCAUUUUUAAUUAUACUGAUAUUAUUUGCAAACUGAUUUUAAUUAAUAAACAAAUUGCUAUAUAUUAUAAAAAAAUUAAGAGUUUUAAUAAAAUUUGAUUUACAUAAUUAUAAAUAUUAACAAUUGCAUACAAAUUAACGCUAUUGUUAUUUAUCUAAUUAUAGCAUACAGAAAAACCACUAUUAAAAGUGUCGAACCUAUUAUAACGGGCGCUGUUAGAACGGAUAAGGAAGCGUUAUUAUACAGAAUGCAUAGCGUUUUUCGUCCGCUAUUACUGCUCAUGUUUCCUGCAGUGAAAUAUACGAAAUACAUUAUCAUUACCCAAAAAGCUACAAAAAUAAACAAAUUUAUCUUUACCGACAUGUGCAAUGUUAAAUUCAAAUUUCUUAUAGUAAAGAAGAAAAAAAUGAAGACACAUGACCCAUAUUAGAAAAAAUCCCGUAGAGAUUCCCCCGCAAGUAAUCUUUUUAAUAGCUCGGUUGAACUUUUGUGAGUGAUUUAAUUCAUUGUUUUUUUUUUCAAGAAAAUGCCACGAGGGACGAGAUCACAAAUGAGAAUAGUGUACUAUGAGAUACGAGUAUCUCUCCGGUGGCGUGGUAGAAGGUCCACGCAAGUCCAGCAUCUGUGCCUCCAGGUCUCCAAGCCGCAUCAGAUCUGCAGAUUAGCGCAUCAGGGUGGAUCUGGGUAAUUUGGUACAGGACUCCACUACUUGGGCCUCUUGCCAUUCCCUAGCACUGGUGAUCACCUUGAGGAUGGUUUCUUGUGGGGAGAAUGAGCGAUUUUGGAAGAUUUUAUGGUUCCUUGAGAUCCAAAUAUUCCAAAUUAUCCAGGCCGCAAGAUGGGUGGGAGCGGAGUCGCCAAGAGUGAGAGUUGGAGGCCCAUAUCAAUAGAUGUAAAGUCUGUUGACAAAAGGUUUGAGGAUAUGGGUAGAGAGCUCCAGAUUUGAACUGCAAAGGGGCAGUGGAAGAAGAGAUGGAGAAUGGAUUCAUCCUGAUCACAAAAAGGUGGGGGAGGAGCAUUUCGAUCUUCCCAGCAUCCCAGUCUCUUCCAUUAGGGAGAAGUAACCAUGCCACUGUGAGAAAUAGAGAGUCUAGCGGAGGAGGGCCGAUAGGUGCUUCCCAGGUAGUAGUUGAGAGCCAAGGUUCUGUCCAGAUGCCAACAUCCUCACCAUUACCUAUCGCCCAACCAACAUGGUGUUUAAUGAGGUCUCGACCAAUUAAGAUGCCCCUCCAGCCGUGGGAGCAGCUCGAUGGAGGUGUGACAUGAAGAAACUCCUGGUAUAAAACUAGUAGGACAUAAACGAGUCUUUGUACAAAAUAAUAAUGAAAACGGUGAAAUUUUAAGAUACAAAACAUGUUUAAUUUCACAAGGGUUUUCACAAUAUGAAUUUAUUAGACAUACUUUCCAGUUGUGGGUACAAUUACUUUUAGUUUCUUAUUAAUCUGACAAUAAUAAAAGACUUUGUUUACAUUUAA
This is a long non-coding RNA of Brassica napus (rape), 1968 nucleotides long. RefSeq lists it as uncharacterized. The record is from RefSeq and is a predicted model, not a curated record. The transcript has 2 exons. NCBI's taxonomy places the organism in Eukaryota, Viridiplantae, Streptophyta, Magnoliopsida, Brassicales, Brassicaceae.